GAUGAAGAACGUAGCGAAAUGCGAUACGUAAUGUGAAUUGCAGAUCUCUCAGUGAAUCAUCGAAUCUUUGAACGCACAUUGCGCCCCUUGGCAUUCCGGGGGGCAUACCUGUUCGAGCGUCAUUUCAACCGUCAAGCGUAGCUUGGUGUUGGGCGUUCGUCCUCGAGAGGACGCGCCUCAAAGCAAUCGGCAGCAUUGCGGCGGCUUCAAGCGUAGCAGAAAAUCCUCGCUCUGGAGGCCACGGCCCUGCCCGCCGGACAAACGAAGUUUUCUAAUGUUGACCUCGGAUCAGGUAGGGAUACCCGCUGAACUUAAGCAUAUCAAUAAGCGGAGGA
This 335-nucleotide unclassified non-coding RNA is filed under the name soil metagenome. RNAcentral's name for it is "partial contains 5.8S ribosomal RNA, internal transcribed spacer 2, and large subunit ribosomal RNA". The stretch from base 1 to 122 matches the Rfam family "5.8S ribosomal RNA", at positions 35 to 154 of the family's 154-position model. The record is from RNAcentral.